This 275-nucleotide ribosomal RNA is filed under the name uncultured bacterium. RNAcentral describes it as "partial 16S ribosomal RNA". It matches the Rfam family "Bacterial small subunit ribosomal RNA", at positions 523 to 796 of the family's 1533-position model. The record is from RNAcentral.
AUACGGAGGUCGCAAGCGUUGUUCGGAAUUACUGGGCGUAAAGGGCAGGUAGGUGGUCUGUUAAGUCUUCUGUGAAAAUCCGGGGCUCAACCCCGUGAAAUGCAGGUGAAACUGGCAGACUUGAGACCGGUAGAGGCUAGCGGAAUUCCUGGUGUAGCGGUGGAAUGCGUAGAUAUCAGGAAGAACACCUGUGGCGAAGGCGGCUAGCUGGGCCGGUUCUGACACUAAACUGCGAAAGCGUGGGGAGCAAACAGGAUUAGAUACCCCAGUAGUCC